UACGUAGGGGGCAAGCGUUGUCCGGAUUUAUUGGGCGUAAAGAGCGUGUAGGCGGUUAGAUAGGUCCGUUGUGAAAAACUCGAGGCUCAACCUCGAGACGCCGAUGGAAACCAUCUGACUAGAGUCCGGAAGAGGAGAGUGGAAUUCCUGGUGUAGCGGUGAAAUGCGCAGAUAUCAGGAAGAACACCCGUGGCUAAGGCGGCUCUCUAGUACGGUACUGACGCUGAGACGCGAAAGCGUGGGGAGCGAACAGG
This 254-nucleotide ribosomal RNA is filed under the name uncultured bacterium. RNAcentral's name for it is "partial 16S ribosomal RNA". It matches the Rfam family "Bacterial small subunit ribosomal RNA", at positions 524 to 776 of the family's 1533-position model. The record is from RNAcentral.